RNAcentral lists this ribosomal RNA (301 nucleotides) under uncultured bacterium. RNAcentral's name for it is "partial 16S ribosomal RNA". It matches the Rfam family "Bacterial small subunit ribosomal RNA", at positions 509 to 807 of the family's 1533-position model. The record is from RNAcentral.
CAGUAGCCGCGGGAAUACGAAGGGGGCUAGCGUUGCUCGGAAUUACUGGGCGUAAAGGGAGCGUAGGCGGACCGAUUAGUCAGGGGUGAAAUCCCGGGGCUCAACCUCGGAACUGCCUUUGAUAUUGUCGAUCUUGAGUAUGGGAGAGGUGUGUGGAACUCCGAGUGUAGAGGUGAAAUUCGUAGAUAUUCGGAAGAACACCAGUGGCGAAGGCGACACACUGGCCCAUUACUGACGCUGAGGCCCGAAAGCGUGGGGAGCAAACAGGAUUAGAUACCCCCGUAGUCCCUGUCUCUUAUAC